RNAcentral lists this long non-coding RNA (7090 nucleotides) under Capsicum annuum. Its description in RNAcentral is "long non-coding RNA (CANN_LNC019851)". The record is from RNAcentral. Lineage: Eukaryota; Viridiplantae; Streptophyta; Magnoliopsida; Solanales; Solanaceae.
UUUUCUUAAAGAAUAUACGCGACACCCAUAAAAAUUCUCAUAUCUUAACAAACCCAUGCCCAUUAUACACAAAAACGACAAAAAAGGGCGAUUGAGACCCAAUACCCAUACCCUCCAUCAUCUUUCCAGGGCGGUAACAAUUGGAUUACAGAGAAACCCCUCACAAUUCUUUCACCACCGCACAUACACUCAUCAGAACACCCAUAAUUCACUCACCGGAAUUACCAUAUACACAAUACACAAAAAUAUUUUUGGGGUCUUUUUCUUUCUUCUCCAUUCAUAGAAAUAUAGGUACAGAGAGAGAGACACGGAUAGAGAGUAGAGAGACGCAAGGGAGAGAAGCAGUGAAGAGAGGCCAUCUCCGGCAACCCAAGCUCGCCGGAGCUUCGGCGAUUUGAAAAAAAAGAAAAGAAAACCCCCGCCCAUUCCGACCGCAAACCCAGAUUCCGGCGAGACCUUGCCGGAUUACACCACCCCACUACCGCCAAACUACCAGAGACGCCAAAACUAGUGAGAACAAUUCAAAUUCGACCAAAUCGUCGUCUUUUUGUCACUUUUUGAGCUCGCCGGAGCUCCGACUAAACGGAAAUAACGAGCUUGGCUUCGAUUCUGGCGAGACCCGUUCAAGCUUGGUUCGAAAUCUGAGAUUUGGGACUCGUUUUGUAGUUCCUCCGCUGGUUUGGGGUUUUGAUUGAGUUGGAUGUGAGAAGUUCGUGCGAGGUUUGAUUUGAGCUUGUUCGAGGUUCCGAGGUCCCGGCCAAUCGUUCUAUGUGUUUUGUAAUCAAAAUUCAACCCGAAAGGUUUGCAUCUUAAUCUCUUAUUCGAUUUUUCUGAAUGUUGGCCUGAUGAUUGUGUUUCCCUCGUUGUUGGUUGAUUCUGUUUGUGGUUCGCUUCUUUGAUUUCAUUUGGAACAAUUUAAUUAUUGUUAUGUCAUUGUUAACUUUGUGUUGAAAUUUUGUUAAUCACUGAAUGCAAAUUUAAUUUGAUUUGGUAUCCGAGUUGAUGAAUUGAUGGUUUCAAAAAGGGGGAAAAGGAAAUUGGAAAUGGAAAAAAUUAGAGCGACUAGCAUCCUUAACACUAUAAUUACAAUAAAUAGCAACACUUUUUUAAAAUUAUAAUUUAUAACAAAAGUAAUAAUAUUUUACUCACUUAUAAUAGAAGAAUAUAUAUUUUUCAAUUAUGCAUAUGGAUUUAUGAGUAAUACAUAUAUAUUUGUAUAUGUAUUUAUACGGCAACAUUUUACUUAAAUACAAAUACAAUUUACUAUUUUUCGUAAUUAUGAAACUGUUGCUAUAAAAGUUAUAAUUAAGUCUAUAGAGUUGCUAUUUCUGAAUUUUUUCCGUUGAAAAUUGUUAAAUCCGUAAUUCAUAGAUUUAUUUUGUAAUGUUGUAGUUUGGAGUUUAUUUUCAUUUGAUAGUAUUACGAUAGGCAAAUUUUAGGUCUUGGGGUAGGCAAUUCGUAGGAUUCCAAUCAUCGAAUGUGUAAUUAUUUGUGUUGACUGAUUUUCUUCAUUUUAUGGCAUUUUAUUAAAUAUAUUUAUUUAGUUGGGGAAUGCCCCAAAAUUUUUUGUAUUUAUUCACCGGAGAAUGCCCCGACGUAUUAUGUUGGCGGAGGAUGUUCGUGAUCAAGACCCGAGGCAUCGGAUAAAGCACGGGAGCAUAAUUCAAGGUUAGUGUAGGUUAGAAUAGAAUUUAUUUUCCGCAUUUUUAUUUUGGGGCUGUAUAAUUGGACUGAACACUAUAUUUUGAAUUUGUUUUGUUUCGUGUGUUUGAUGUUUGUUUAUGUGUUUUUGUGUGGUUUAUAUGUUUUUAGUGUCAAAAUUAGCCGAUACGCUCCACCAAGAGACCGUCGUCAAAUCACGGGAUCAAGGGGUGCCUAACACCUUCCCCUCGGUCAACAGAAUUCCUUAGCCGAAAUCUCUGUUCGCAAACCAGUUUAAAAGAGUCAAAAACAGUUUUGAAAAAGGAUUUUCAAAGGUGACUUGACACUCUCGAUUUAUGCCAAGUGGCGUCUCUGAGUUUUGAAUAUAAAAGGUCCUUUUCGAAACAAAUUUUCAUCUUUUGUCACUUAAUAAUAAAAUCCUUUUGAAACUUAAAAUCAAUCUUUUUGGAGUAGAAAAAAAGGGGUGUGGCAGUCACAUGUAUGUUUAUUAUCAACUCUCAAUAUAACUUUUGUGAGAUUAUUGGCUCAAAUAAUAAGGUUAAGAGCACAAUUUUCAGAUUAUGCAAUAAAGACUAUUCGUCUUGAUAAUGCUGGUGAGUUUACAUCUCAAUCCUUUAAUGAUUAUUGUAUGUCAAUUAGAAUAAAAGUUGAACAUUCGGUUGAUCAUGUUUACACUCAAAAUGGUAUAGCAGAAUCAUCGAUCAAAUGUCUUCAAUUGAUAGCUAGACCGAUGUUAAUGAGGACAAAACUUCCUGUUUCAACAUGGGGACAUGCUAUUUUGCAUGCAGCAACACUUGUGUGCAUAAGGCCAACUAGUUAUCAUAAAUUCUCCCCAUUACAGUUAAUUUUUGGUCAAGAACCAAAUAUUUUUCAUCUUAUAAUUUUUAAAUGUGCGGUAUAUGUUCUAAUUGCUUCACCACAAUGCACAAAGGUGGAACCCCAAAGAAGGUUGAGAAUAUAUAUUGGGUAGAAUCUCCUUCCAUUAUAAAAUUUUGAAACCUAUGACAGGAGAUUUGUUUACGGCAAGAUUUGCUGAUUGUUAUUUUGAUGAAUCAGUAUACCCAACAUUAGGGGGAGAACAUAAGCAACUGAAACAUGAGAUAGAUUGAAAUGCACUAUCACUAUCUCAUUUGGAUCCUCAAACAAAUCAAUGUUAGUAAGAGGUUCAAAAGAUGAUUUACUUACAAAAUAUUGUAAAUCAGCUACUGGAUGCAUUUAAUAACCUUCCAAAGGUUACUAAAUCAUAUAUUCUAGCUGCGAAUGCUCCAGUUCGAGUUGAUGUCCCGAUAGAACAAGUGGUUAAUGCAAAUGUGUUUAAGCCACGUUUGAAAUAUGGUAGACCAAUUGGUUCCAAGGAUAAAAAUUCUCAAAAAAAGAAAAGAAAUAAAUGAUCCAAAUGAUCACGAUAUGAUGACAGUCGCUCAAAAAGAGCCUCAAGAUCUAACAAAUGAUAAAACCGCUGAGGAGGUUAAAAUACCUGAAACUAAUGAGAAUAAAAACAUCUCAAUAAGUUAUGUCUCGAUGAGAAAUAGGUGGAAUCGAAAUAAUAUUGUGGUUGACAAUAUUUUUGCUUACAAUGUUGCUACUAAAAUAAUGCAACAAGAUGGGGAUUUGGAACCAAAAUCUAUCAAUGAAUGUAGAUAGAGAAAUGAUUGGCCAAAAUGAAAGGAUUCAAAAUUCAACCGGAAUUGACUUCACUUGAAAAACGUGAAGUUUUUGGACCAAUAGUUCGAACACCUGAAGGUGUCAAGCCAGUGGGGUACAAAUGGGUUUUUCUGCGAAGAUGAAAUGAAAAAGGUGAAGUCGUAAGAUAUAAAGCACGACAGCACGACAUGUGGCACAAGAUUUUUCGCAAAGGCCUGACAAUGAUCAUGCAGAGACAUAUUCUCCUUUGGUGGUGGAUGAAAUUACCUUCAGAUAUAUAAUAAAUCUGGCAAUUCAUGAAAAGCUUGAUAUGGAUCUAAUGGAUGUUGUCACGGCCUAUUUGUAUGGCUCAUUGGACAGUGAUAUUUUUAUGAAAAUUCCAGAGGCCUUCAAAGUACCUAAAGCAUAUAAAAAUUUGCAAGAAACUUGCUCAAUAAAACUUCAGAAUUCCUUAUAUGGAUUGAAACAAUCAGGACGGAUGUGGUAUAAUCGUCUUAGCGAAUAUUUGCUAAAAGAAGGGUACAAAAAUGAUCCUAUUUGCCCUUGUGUUUUUAUAAGAAGGUCUAGAUCCGAAUUUGCUAUAAUAGUUGUUUUUGUUGAUGACUUGAAUAUCAUUGGCACUCCCAAAGAACUUUCAAAAGUUGUUGAAUGUUUGAAGAAAGAUUUUGAAAUGAAAGAUCUGGGAAAGACAAAAUUUUAUCUCGGCCUACAGAUUAAGCAUUUGACAAAUGAAAUUUUUAUCUAUCAAUCAACAUACAUUGAAAAGAUCUUAAAGCAAUUUUACAUAGAUAAAUCACAUUCAUUGAGUACCCCAAUGGUCGUGAGAUUGCUUGAUAUAAACAAAAAUCUAUUUUGACCUCAAGAAAAUGAUGAAAAGCUUCUUGGUGAUGAAACUCCAUAUCUUAAUGCAAUCGGGGCACUAAUGUAUCUUACCAAUAAUACUCGAUCAAAUAUUUAUUUUAUGGUAAGUUUAUUGGCAAGAUUCAGCUCUUCUCCAACUAAAAUACAUUGGAAUGGUAUCAAACAUGUACUCAAAUAUCUUCGGGGAACCAUUGACUUGGGAUUAUUUUAUUCAAAUGAAUCCAAGUCAGAAAUGAUUGGUUAUGAGGAUGCAGGAUACUUAUCUGAUCCACAUAAGGCUUGAUCUCAGACGGGUUAUUUAUUUACAUAUAGUGGCAAAACUAUAUCAUGGCGUUCAAUGAAGUAAACAUUAGUUGCAAAUUCUUCAAAUCAUGCAGAAAUUAUUACUAUUCAUGAAGCAAGCCGAAAGUGUGUUUGACUGAGAUUAAUGACUCAACAUAUUCAGAAAAUGUGCGGAUUUCCUUUGAAUAAGGAUAUUCCAACUACAUUGUAUAAAGAUAAUGUUGUAUGUAUAGCUCAGUUGAAGGGGGAUUACAUUAAAGGAGCCAGAACAAAACACAUUUCACCAAAAUUCUUUUUCACUCAUGAUCUUGAGAAGAAAGGUGAAAUAGAUGUUCAACAAAUUCGUUCAAUCGAUAAUCUAGCAGGUAUGUUCACUAAAGCAUUGCCAACAUCAACCUUUGAGAAGUUGAGAUACAAGAUUGGGAUGCGUCGUCUCCUAGAUAUUAAGUGAUGUUUUUAUCAAGGGGAGUACAUACGCACUGCACUCUUUUUUCCUUAACCAAGGUUUUAUCCCACUGAAUUUUUCUGGUAAGGUCCCACUGGAUUUUUCUGGUAAGGUUUUUAAUGAGGCAGCAAACAAGGCGUAUUACAAAACGCUAUUGUACAUCUUAUUUUCUUUAGAAUUUCUCUUUUACAUGAACAUCCAAGGAGGAGUAUUGUAAAUAAUGUAUUUGGUGGAUGUUCACAUACUACACUAUUGUACUACACUAUUGUAGCUACACAUACUACACAUACUAUUGUAGGAUGUAAAGUUUGUGAAUGUAUUUUCACAUAAUACACUUUUUCCGCAUACUAUUGCCUAUAAAAGGCAUUCCAUUCUACAUUGUAAAUACACACCAAAGUAGAAGAAAAUAAAAUCUUCUCUUAUAUUUAUAGGUCUCUCUCCCCUCACCUUUCAUUUUAGCAUAUUUCAAAAUAUUUGUUUACAAUAGAAGAAUGAUUUUCUAUAGGGAAAAAUUCAUAAAUAGCAUACGUAAGACCAUAAUUAUGAGAUUCAUAGCAACACUUUUAUAAUUACCUAAAGUAGCAACUUGUAUUUGAACAAAUUGUUGCUGUAAAAAUACAUAUACAAAUCUUUUUACUGCCCAUAUUUAACUCAAAUCAGUUGAGUUAAAUAUGGUAUAAUUAACCAUGACUUAAAUGUGGAGAUUCCUUUUCUAUUAAAACCUCUUAAUGAAUGUGAUUUCCGUUAUUUGUUACCAACUGAAAUCAAUAUUCAAAUUUCAGUUUCAAAGUAACGUGUUUAACAAAAAAAAUCAAAAUCACAUUCAUCUGAAACUUUUUCUGUUCAAAAUCUUCGAAAAGUCAAAUUCAACCAUUAUUGUUUUUGAAGGUAUGUAAUCGGAAAGUUUUUAUCUAAUAUGAAUUUCAUAAUGAACAUGAUUUCCGUUAUUUGUUAUCAACUAAAAUCAAAAUUCAAAUUUCAGUUUCAAGUCAACGUUUUCAACCAAAAAAAAUUAAAAUCAAAUUCAUCUGAAGCUUCUUUUGUUCAAAAUCUUCGAAAAUUCAAAUUCAACCAUUACUGUUGUUGAAGGUAUAUAAUCGUGAUUUUUUUUUCUAAUAUGAAUUUCAAAGGUUGUCUGAAAUUGAUGAAAUAAAUUUUGUUCUUAAUUUUUUUACGAACCAUUACUGUUAUUUUGUUCAAAUUUUUUUUUGAUGCAUUACGGAUGUUUUGUUCAAAAUUUUAGUUUCAAUGAUAAAUUAUUUUUGAAGAUUUUAUAAGCAAUUUUCGAAAAAAAAUAAUGAAACCGUAAAUUGAACUGAUCGAACAAUGAAGUGAUCAAAAUCGAUUAAAUUGCUCAAACUCAAUUUUUUUUAGAGUUCUGGUUCUCGAAAAUUAAGAGUAUAUUUUUAUUUUUGUAAAGUCCGAUUAUGAAUAUUUGGCUGUGUUCGAAUAUGGAAAUUGUGGUUGUGUUUGUAUUUUACGUUGAACAAAUAAUUUGUAAUUAUAUUUUCGGCUGAAAAUUUUGAUUGUAUAUGUAUACAUUGUUUACGUAUAUAACUGGAGAUGUUUAUUUUGACCUUUUUUUGUGUAAUUGUAUAUUGUAAUUAUAUUGUAUUUUCGUUAGUAUAUUUUUUGUGAAAUUCUGUAUUUCAUAUUAUAAUUGAAUAUUUCUGUGCACAGUUGUAUAAUUAUCGUUUUAUUUGUAUACUUUGAUUGCUGAUAUUUUUUUUUUGUAGUUUUAAGUAAUUGUAUAUGUAUAUUAUAACUAUUCACAACCUACUGAAAUUUAUUUUUUUGUUAACACUAUUUAGGUGAAAAAAGUAGCAAUGACAAGCGUCCUAAUUCUUGUGAAGCAUUCUGGAAGGUGGACGUAUGAAAAAAAACUAUGAAGAGUACAUUACUGAUGCAAUAUUGUUGAGCACGACAGCGUCAUGCAAUCAACUAUACAAUCUUUUGGCAUCUCACAUUAAUGUGGAUUUGAGAACAAAACGUAUUCAAAUUGAAUAUCAAAUCGCUGAAAAUGCAGACCAAAUACAAAUACAUAAUGAUAUGGGUUUAAAGGUGUUUAUUUUGUAAAAGAAAGAUAUCCAAGACAUGAAUUGUAUUUUGAACUAUAUGUAUUUCUAAUGUCAAAUGCAUACGCAGAUUCCCAUAAUUAUUUACAAAAGAUAUGUAUUCGAAAAUACAUUUAUCGCC